CCUACGGGGGGCUGCAGUGAGGAAUAUUGGUCAAUGGACGCAAGUCUGAACCAGCCAUGCAGCGUGCAGGAAGACUGCCCUAUGAGUUGUAAACUGCUUUUGUAAGAGAGUAAACGCAGAUACGCGUACCUGUUUGAAUGUAUUGUAUGAAUAAGGAUCGGCUAACUCCGUGCCAGCAGCCGCGGUAAUACGGAGGAUUCAAGCGUUAUCCGGAUUUAUUGGGUUUAAAGGGUGCGUAGAUGGUCGGUUAAGUCAGUGGUGAAAUUCCGAGGCUCAACUGUGAAAUUGCAUUUGAUACUGGUCGGCUAGAGAAUAGUUGAGGUAGGCGGAAUGUGUGGUGUAGCGGUGAAAUGCUUAGAGAUCAUGCAGAACACCGAUUGCGAAGGCAGCUUACCAAGCUACCUCUGACAUUGAUGCACGAAAGUGUGGGGAGCAAACAGGAUUAGAUACCCUGGUAGUC
This 460-nucleotide ribosomal RNA is filed under the name uncultured bacterium. Its description in RNAcentral is "partial 16S ribosomal RNA". It matches the Rfam family "Bacterial small subunit ribosomal RNA", at positions 338 to 795 of the family's 1533-position model. The record is from RNAcentral.